This 890-nucleotide ribosomal RNA is filed under the name uncultured bacterium. Its description in RNAcentral is "bacterial SSU rRNA". It matches the Rfam family "Bacterial small subunit ribosomal RNA", at positions 8 to 887 of the family's 1533-position model. The record is from RNAcentral.
AGAGUUUGAUCAGGGCUCAGAUUGAACGCUGGCGGCAGGCUUAACACAUGCAAGUCGAGCGGCAGCGGAAAGAAGCUUGCUUCUUUGCCGGCGAGCGGCGGACGGGUGAGUAAUGUCUGGGGAUCUGCCCGAUGGAGGGGGAUAACUACUGGAAACGGUAGCUAAUACCGCAUAAUGUCGCAAGACCAAAGUGGGGGACCUUCGGGCCUCACACCAUCGGAUGAACCCAGAUGGGAUUAGCUAGUAGGUGGGGUAAUGGCUCACCUAGGCGACGAUCCCUAGCUGGUCUGAGAGGAUGACCAGCCACACUGGAACUGAGACACGGUCCAGACUCCUACGGGAGGCAGCAGUGGGGAAUAUUGCACAAUAGGGGAAACCCUGAUGCAGCCAUGCCGCGUGUGUGAAGAAGGCCUUCGGGUUGUAAAGCACUUUCAGCGGGGAGGAAGGCAAUGGCGUUAAUAGUGUCAUUGAUUGACGUUACCCGCAGAAGAAGCACCGGCUAACUCCGUGCCAGCAGCCGCGGUAAUACGGAGGGUGCGAGCGUUAAUCGGAAUUACUGGGCGUAAAGCGUACGCAGGCGGUCUGUUAAGUCAGAUGUGAAAUCCCCGGGCUUAACCUGGGAACUGCAUUUGAAACUGGCAGGCUAGAGUCUCGUAGAGGGGGGUAGAAUUCCAGGUGUAGCGGUGAAAUGCGUAGAGAUCUGGAGGAAUACCGGUGGCGAAGGCGGCCCCCUGGACGAAGACUGACGCUCAGGUACGAAAGCGUGGGGAGCAAACAGGAUUAGAUACCCUGGUAGUCCACGCUGUAAACGAUGUCGAUUUGAAGGUUGUGGUCUUGAGCCGUGGCUUUCGGAGCUAACGCGUUAAAUCGACCGCCUGGGGAGUACGGCC